This 85-nucleotide transfer RNA is filed under the name Sulfurovum sp. RNAcentral's name for it is "tRNA-Leu". It matches the Rfam family "tRNA". Rfam says of the family: Transfer RNA (tRNA) molecules are approximately 80 nucleotides in length. Their secondary structure includes four short double-helical elements and three loops (D, anti-codon, and T loops). Further hydrogen bonds mediate the characteristic L-shaped molecular structure. tRNAs have two regions of fundamental functional importance: the anti-codon, which is responsible for specific mRNA codon recognition, and the 3' end, to which the tRNAs corresponding amino acid is attached (by aminoacyl-tRNA synthetases). tRNAs cope with the degeneracy of the genetic code in two manners: having more than one tRNA (with a specific anti-codon) for a particular amino acid; and 'wobble' base-pairing, i.e. permitting non-standard base-pairing at the 3rd anti-codon position. The record is from RNAcentral. Lineage: Bacteria; Pseudomonadati; Campylobacterota; Epsilonproteobacteria; Campylobacterales; Sulfurovaceae. RNAcentral also lists the same sequence under 2 other names.
GCCUCGAUGGUGGAAUUGGUAGACACGCUAGACUCAAAAUCUGGUGGGCUUGCCCGUGUCGGUUCGACUCCGACUCGAGGUACCA